CUUGUGUAACUUUUCUGGAGUCCGCAUAGCCAUCGGCAGAGUACACAGCACUCGGAGACUUCUGCAUGGUCUGUGGGCUCACUAUUGACUCAAGUGCAUGCUGUGAAUGACUCAAAGGUCCAUGGGUGGGAGAAUGAAAGGGGAGGGGGAGAGAGAAAGAGGGAGACAAAAACAUGUUGCUGUUAUUGUGUGUCAGUGGUGCAUCUUCUCUCAAUGGCAAAGAAGAAAACAACAGAGAGAAUGAGAAGGAAAUAAACAAACCAGGGUGUCCCGCCAGGGUUGGGGGGCGGUUGCGUCCUCCUCAUGGCUCCGUGAGCAUGGGCCAUAACACAGCAUUGCACAGGCAUGACUUCAUCUGUUUCCAUAAGAUUUCUUUCUCCCUCUCCCUUUCUUUGGCCUGUAAUUGAGAAACGUAUGAGCUCACCUCCUAGGAGCGGGAAAUCAGAACCGCAAGAGGAAACGAGCUGGAAAGUAUACAUUGGAUUGGGGAAAAAAAACCAUAGAUUCGGUGGGGGAGGAGAUGUAUUGAAAAGAGAAGCAACGCCAUGUGCUUUGCUGCAUCCCUCACAGCUCCAGGGUCACGGCAUCUUCAGGGAUAAUGCACGUGAAUAGGUGACACUGGAAUCUUGGCAGCUCGGCUCUGAACCCUGCCUAACAGGGGAAACAGUCUUGGUCAGGCGAUAGUUGGAGUGCGGUUCUUGAAGAAGUAGUGCGGAUGACACAUCAGCUCAAAAUCUCAGCAGGUGUCAAGUGGUGCCAGCUGAGGCUCUGGCCUUGAUUUUCUUCUCUUCCUUGUCCUGCCACCCUGGUCAAACUAUUCUGAAAAAAUGUAGGCGUGUCCCUCUUUCUAUUUUGUGGUGCCUAGAGGCCAGGGUCCCAUUGUGCUAAGCACAGUACAGACAUUUAACAAAGGGACAGUCCCUGCCCUAUGGAGUUUACAAUCUAAAUACAAGACUGUAGACAACAUGUGGAUACAAUAAAUGGAUGGGGAACUUCAAGGAAUCACGGAGGCGAUGCUGGGCCAUGUGAUAGGCAGGGGUCACUGCGUACCAGGUGCACAACCUUUGUCAAGUUUCCUGUAGGAGGAUGAUUGUCUGAGUAUCCAGCAUCCUCAAACCCCGAUCAUUGUCCCCCUGGGCAUGAGCAGUGUGUGAAAUCAUCCUCUGCCUCCCAUCUGUGUCUCUACCUCUCUCCCUAUUCUCUUCCUUUCCUUUCCCUUCUUUUCAGUCCCUUAUAUCUUUUCCUUUUCCUGGCUGCCUUUUCUCUAUCUUUAUUUAAAUUGAACACUAACUGACAGGGACUAGAAAGAAACUUCCCCUGUGGACAAGUUACUUUAUAGUUGGCCACUUGCAGCUUCCUGAGAAGUAGUUGGCAUUGGUCGAUUUUGGAGACCUGAUGAUGGACUAGAUCUGAUCUGGUCUGGUCAAGUAUGGAAAUUCCUAUGCUUCUCUUUUCUACAUCUCCUUUCAUUCUCUUCCAGUUCUUCAUCUCUUUCAACUCUUGUUCCCUUCUCUCUUUCCCUGUCCCAAGCCUUUCUCCAAUCUCCCCCUAUUGUUUGUACUUAUUUGGAGAGAACAGGACAGGUCUAACUUUGGUCUUAGAUCAGAUUUGGACCAAACAGCCUCUUCCUCAGCUGGUAUGAAUCAGUGUAGCUCCAUUGAAGUCAACAAUUUACUCUAGCCGACGAUGUGGCCCAUAAUGUUCCAGUCCAACCUAAAUCUGAAUUACUCAAACAAGGCACCAUAGAAAGAAAGAAAAGAGGAAAACAAAAUGCAAAUUAAAACUGGCUUUCAACAAAUGUCUCCAGAAGCCCUGGAGAUUUCUGGAUACAGGUGUACAGUGAUGUAGCUCAGAAAGCAGAGAGCGCAGCCAGGGAGUGGGAUGAAUCUUGUUAGUUGAUUGAUUUAUAUUUGCAAAGUGUUUAUAUAAAUUCUAAGAGUUGUUAUUGUUACCUGGAGGAGUAUGAGGUUUUUCUGAACUUCACAAAUUAGUUUCUGGAUUUAUAAGUUUCACAAAACUGGUUUGAAUUAAUGAACACCCCCACUUUUCAUCAUUUAGAACCUGAUGUCCUUGUAAUUUAAAUUCAUCUUUCCCUCCCCUCCAGGGUGAGCCAAUUUUUUAUUUUUAGAAAUGAUCUUCUAGCUAAAGGGAAGCCUGUGCUAUGAAUUAGGGCUAGAAAUGCCACAUUGGCACAAGGGGAUGCCCCGUAUAUGUUAUACUGUAUUUAUUUUUCCAUUGGAUCUUUUUCCCCUCUCCUCUUCUCUGCACCUUUUUUUCUACACUUUUUCCUACAUGAAACACUAAUCCAGUGACAUUCAAACCCACAGUGUUUGAGUGGCCUCUAAAUUAGGCAAAACAAGUUUGCCCAACCCUAGUGCAAACUGGGCUCAUUUUCUAAUUCAUACACACUCCAUUCAUUGGUAGUCUGUAAGUCCUAAUACAAUAUACUUCUGUCCUGGGCCCAUCUCCUCAUUGCUCUGGUGCCCCCUCUCAUCCCCUAUCUUAACCUCUUACACUCCUCUGACUCUUUCCCCUCAUAACACAAACAUGCUCUUGUCUCUUCCAGCUCAGCAACAGAAAACAUCCUUGACUCCAGUUGCCUGUCCAGCUACCACCCCCAUAUCCUUUUCAUCUCUAAGCUCAGUGAAUGUGCUGCUUACAAAUGAUAUCUGGUGUUCCUCUCUUCCAAGUCCAUGCCAGACCAUCUCCAACCUGGCUUCUGCCCCCUGCUCUCCACUGAAACUGCUCUCACCAAAGUCUCUAAUGACCUCCUCAAAUCUGAGAACCAGGACUACUUCUGCAAGUAAUUGUCCCUAUGGGUACUCCACUUCAGGUGUGUGCACACCCCUAUGCCUCUGACUGGAGAUUUUUGGUAGCAGUGUCCACGUAGUCCACGUCUUCACGCUGUGUGUCCUCAUGCUCUGAUCUGAGGGCAUGUAAGGCAGGGUGAACCUGCCGUCCCUCCAGUUCCUUCUCAACCAUCUGAGGCCUGAGACGGAGUGCAGCUGUGUGGGCUUAUGCUCUCCUCUGGCACCGAAGCACUGCAAUACCAACAAUACCAACAAGAUCAGCUCCCCUCUUCUGACUUGAAGAUUUCCAUUCAGGGUUCCACCACCUACCCAUUCAGACCCCCUCCCCCCCAGCCUUUUCUGAAAGAGGGUCAUCAGGAAACAGGCAUUUGCAAGUCCCUCAACAGCCUUCUGGGUACCACCUACUUGGGCAGGGAAGCCCUGCCAAUAAAUAAUGCCUUGCUAGAGCCAACCAGAAGAGCAUGGCAAAUGCCAGACACUGUUCCUCCCACUUGCAAAUGGGUGGACAAGAAAUAUUUUGCACCCUCGAAAGGCACACAAUACCUAUUCCCCCAUCCUGUCCCAAAUUCUUUCAUGGUUGAUGCUCUGAAUGAAAGAAACAAACAGCAUCAUUCCUCAUCAUUCCACACCACACCAAAAAGAAAUGUAAGUGCACAAAAGUUAUUCCUUGGUCUCUUUACAAUUCAGGGUAGCAAAUUACCAAGCCCUGAUUGCUAAGUCUGACUACACAAACUACAAGAAAUUCACUCAUUUUGUUGAAUAUCUCCCACAAGAACAAAGACCAAUUCUAGGUACUCAUCACUGAAGGACAACUAGGGGCCAAGGCCCCAUCACAGGCAACUUUGGAUGUGGCAGACACAGCCUCUUGGUCUAUGACAACAACCAUAGUAAUGUGCCGUGUAUCCUGCUUACAGUCCUCUGGAGUCCAUAGAGAGAUCCAGAACAUAGUGGAGGAUCUUCUAUGUGAGGGUCCCAAGCUAUUCAGCAACACCAUGGAUGAAUCCCUCCAUUCCUUAAAGGGCUCCAGAGCAAUUCUUCAGUCUUUGAGAAUUUACACUUCUGCAACCAAAGAAGAUAUAGCAGAUCUUACAGCCCAAAGAUCCAGCCUGGUCCGGUUUCUAACAUAUCACAGGGCUAUAGAGCCACCUGGGAAAAGACCUAGAUUCAAAGGAAAAGACCAUUGAUCUCCAAAGCUAUAGUCAACCAGCCAUCAACCUCUACAAAGCAGCUGUUAUUGGUCAAUAGCUACAAGUCAUUCUGUCAUCUGGAUCUUAUGCUGCAUCACCCUUCUAUUUCCUACCUCUCCACCUUAUGGGGACUGCCUUUCCCAUUUCAAGCAUUCAUGGUAAUGAAUCACAUAGAGCAGAUGGGUGCUAGCAAGCAUCACAUCAGGAUAUGCCGUUCACUUCAGCUCCAUCCCUCCCCACUACUCUUCAGGGACCCAUCUCAUGAAGGUCUCCUAAGAUAGGAAAUAACUGGGUGUAGUAGAGCCAGCUUCCCCUCCCUAUAUGGGAAAAGGCGUCUACUCCAGAGCCUUCCUGGUACCCAAGAAAAAAAGGGAGGUGGAGACUGAUUUUGGACCUCAGCACACUUAACAUAUUCAUCCAGACUCUUAUGUUCAGGAUGGCAACCUUAGCAGCAAUUAUAUCAUCUCUAGAUCCAGGGGGUUGAUUUAUGACCCUCGAUCUCUAGGAUGCAUACUUUUACAUAGCACUGUGUCCAGCUCACAAGCACUUCCUGAGGUUCAUGGUUGGUCACAAAUAUUAUCAAUAGUGGAUACUUCCAUUCAGCCUCUUGACUGUCUCAAGAUGCUCCACAAAGGUCCUUUCAGUGGUGGCUGCCCAGCUGAGACAGCAGUGGCAGUCUUUCCCUGCCUACACAACUGGCUCCUGCUGUAUACCUAUCCUCCUAUGCCACUGCUUCUCAAAGGACUGAAAAAGAUGAAAAAAAGACAAAUCCAAAAUCAACCUAUGCAAGAGGGGUCUGAUUCCGAGACUUGAUUUGCCUGCCACUUUGGCCACCUCUUCACCUGCCACUGACAACAAACUUGCUGGCUCAAAGGAACCUCUCUGGGAAAAAUAGUUACCCCAAUCUACCCACACUAUAUCUCAAGGCCUGGCUCUUGGAUGACUCUCGGGCAUAGGAAGGGAUUGUUCAUUUUCAAGUGCAGAACAUAGGGAUGAACAGGAAACCAUCAGUGAGGAAGACUUACCUUCAUAAAUGAAUGUGAUUCUUCCACUGGUGCUCCCAGCGUGAUUGUUUCCCUCUAAGCUUCACAUAAUACAGAUUUUAGAUUACCCAUUAAAUUUAAAGACCGUGGGUUUGUUGCUAAGUUCCUUUGAAGUCCAUUUUGCAGCUGGUAGCUCUGGCACAUCAUCCUGCCCCAGGUUUUAUCCGGGCAAAGUGACUCUUUGCCUCUAUCUUUGUUUUCUCUCCCAGAUCUCCUCUGAUUUCUCCAUGACAUUCUAUUACCCAUAUUCUACCCUAAUCACACAACUCUUGGGAAGAAGCUAAUCUCCACACUCUGGAUGUUGGAGGGACUAACGUUCUACCUAGAAAGAAUUUGACCCUUCAAAAUCUCUUCUAAGUUUUUCAUCUCCUUCAUAGGAUGAGUGGAACCUCUAUUUGUAUCCCACGACUUUCCAAAGGGAACUUGGGAUGCUUUUUGUCCUCUCUAGAAUGCACCCUCCCACUAAGGUGACUGCUCAUUCCACUAGGGCCCACCUCUCUGACUUGGCUCAUGAAUCUCCCCAUCAAAGACAGCUGUAAAGCUGCUACCUGGUUAUCUGUUCACUGCUUUUCCCAGCACUAUGCCACAGUGCAGGUCUGAUGCAGCUUUUGAGACAGCUGUUCUCCAAACUGUACUAGACAGGACUCCUCAUCACCCGACCCCUUAGUCUGGGCACUGCUUGGGAGUCACCUGAAGUCGAGCACCCAUAAGGACAAUUACUCAAAGAAGGAUUGCUGAUUACUUGGUACAGCAAGGUGAGUUCUUCAAAAUGUUUUGUCCUCAUGGGUGCUCCACUAUCUGCCUUCCUUCCCCUCUGCUUCAGAGUGCCAGCAUUAAGCCAUAUUUCACAAAGGAGAAGGAACUGGAGUGGCAGCAGUUCCACACUGAGGGUGUACAGAGCACAGGUGAGGAUCACAUGGACACUGCUACCACAAACCUCUGAUCAAAGAUGCACUGUCAUGCAUGCACCAGUAGUGUAGUACCUAUAGGGUCAAAAUAUCUCAAAGAACUCAAGUUGCUGCCAGAUCCUCAGCUGGUGUAAGUCAAUGUAGCUCCAUUGACUUCAAUGCCAGUUUACCCUAGCUCAGGAUAUGGUCCCAGUGUGAAGAAGGAGGCUUGCAUCAGAAUUUGUUUGCUUGGCAUUGUGACGGGGUGGCAUUGUGACUAGGCCAGUGGGGGCUGACCAAUCACUGUGGGCCCAGGAGACCAUGACCCCUCACUCCUGCUGUGCAUUCUCCAGCCGAAGGGACAGAUAAAAAGGAAGUCCAGCUCAGUCAGGGCUGGUGGAGGAAGAGGAAGGGCAUGUGCUGCAGGCUUCCGCUGAGGAACUGUCAACUCUCCAGUCUGUAGGGACUGUGAACCCAGAUUAUGCUGCGCACAGCUAACUGACCACGGAGACCUACUGGGAUGCCAAGCUGCUGACAGCUGAGAAGAUGCUCGAGAUGGGCUUUUUGGUCAAACCCAAAGGAGUGUGGCCAAUCCUUUGAACUGAAGUCCAUGGAGCUAUCAUUCAUUGACACCAGCUGAGGAUCUGGCCCAUUGAUCUUAGAAGAAAGAGCACAACAAUAGCAGCUGUAACCGGAUUUAUGGGGCACAUGGAACGGAACACUGAACACUUUGCAGACACAAAUGUCAUAUGUGGAGCAAUGGAUUAUAACCCCUCCCCUGAGCAUAAUGGGACUAGGCAGACCUGGAACCAAAACAUAUGAAAAGAUUGUGCAAGUGUUGCCGUCACAGUAUGUUCCAACACUGCUGGUGGUGAUGGAGAGAUUUCUGUUUUGUAAUAGAAACCAAAAAGAGUGGGAAAUGCUUUCACAGUGCGUUUGAUGCUGGCAGACACCCUUUGUGUCAAGCUGGUCUUCAGUCCUUGUAGUGACGAUAUACAGAAGUGACUAUUGUCUGAGCCAGAUCUCACAGGCCAAAAGGCUGUGGAAAUUGCAGCCCAGGGAAUCCCUAGUGCUGAAUAUUCAUCCAAAAAGGUACAAGAUUCCAAGGGAAAUGUCAGGUAUUCUGGGAUUUUACUGAUGUGGCAAGACAGGACAUCAAGAAUAGUGUGCUCGUGUAAAGAUCAGAUGGGCUUGCAAUAUACUAUCGAGGAACCAACUGAUUGUCCCUGUAUGCAGAAUAAAGUGGCCACAGGAAAGGCCAAUACUGGCCAAAAAACAAACAAACCAGCAAUAAAGUGUGGCAAGAAGACACUGGAUGAUCCCUCUGGACAGGAAGAAAACAGAACAAGUCAGCAGAAAUUACAUUGCACAUCUCUACUAUAACAUUAGCUAAUUUUUACUAAUCUAUCAAAACAUAUCUUGAGUCAUUGCCAAGGAGAAGUGAAAUCAACAAGGAGUGGGAGCAGAUAGAAGACAGACAGAUCUUUUAAAAGCAGCACUAGCUCAUAUCUAUGCUGCAAGGGCUGAAUGAGUUUCACUGCUGAAAGAGGACCAGUGUCAUACACAGCAAACAUAUGAUGAAAAGCAUGUCUUGCAUGCUGGAGUUAUGAUUAGCAGUGUUUGGUCCUUUAGAUGCUAAGAUGGUUCAUUGGUUGAAUUAGCAGAAAAUGCAAGAAUUUCAGAUCCAGAACAUGUGAAUGAAGCAUUCAGAUCUCUUCCAUUCUCAAGCCUUUUCUGUUGUUGGAAUAAACAGAUAAUCCUGAAUCAGCUUCCUUUUCCAUAUCACUAACUGAUUGCGCUGGGACGUCUGUUUCACAUGCAGCAUGAUGCGAUGAAUUUUCCAGUUCCACUGUUCCAAAACCCAUACUUAUUUCAAGAUGAAUUAGAAGACCUCCUCAUCAUUUUAAUUUGUAACACAGAGUGGCAAGGCCCUUGCUUUAGGGAAUAAUAAUCCCUGGGCAAAGCCAGAACUGGAGGAUAGUUUUUUAGUUAAUAAUAGUCAUGUUAAUUGAACAUUCCUUUGGGGAAGGUGGGGAGACGUUGCAUCAUAGUAUUCAUUGUGACUACCCAUCAAAUCUGUGAAUCAUAGAAUAUCAGGGCUGGAAGAGACCUCAAGAGAUCAUCUAGUCCAACCCCCUGCUCAAAGCAGGACCAAUCCCCAAUUUUUUUUUGCCCCAGAUCCGUAAAUGGCCCCCUCAAGAACUGAGCUCACAACCCUGGGUUUAGCAGGUCAAUGCUCAAACCACUGAGCUAUUCCUCCCCGCAAUGAUUAGUCUCCCUUAAAAUUACCUAGUGGCAGCAACCAUCUUCAGUUUACAUCACAGUAGAAAGGCAACACAAUAGUCUGCCACCUACCUACAGACAGUUGGUGUGAUUUAUCUUUAUGAGAAUCUCUUUGUUCCCAAGCUAACCCGAACUCUCCCUGAGCCACACACCUUUGUCUGUCGACCAUUUGGAAAGAGAGGUUUGCCAUAGAACUGUGUGUACGCUUAGCAAAUGAGAACUUACAGAUACAAUACCACAGGGAACAGUGUGAACCAUAAAUUCAUCAAAGCCAGAGCCUCUAUAACCUAGUGCUGCGCUGAACAAUGUGGAAGAAAUGUUGUUCAAUCUGUGCCUUUGUGAGCUGUUAUGUUCCCAGCUAGCCCACUCCUACAGUGUGCUCAGUGUGCUGACUCUCCAGGAGCUCUCUCCAUUCUGGAACCGGCCACCUGUCUCCUGCCAGGCCCCAGAGAGGAACAAGACUGGCUGACAAAUACCAUAUGUUAUAGGCUGGCCAAAGGAAGCCUAACUGUAUUUUGUUCAGUUUUGUUUAACUGGGUCACUGUAACAAGGCUGUUUUUACAGCUAGCACAUCUGUAUAUGGUUGAACUUUUCUGUCUAUAUGUGCACUGGUGGAGAUCAGACACCCUUAUUUUUUGCCCUAGAAAUGUAAUAUUCUGCCCUCCCCAACGGCAGUGAUGGAAGUGUGUGUGUGUGGGGGGAGUGAAUAGCAAUUUUAACACCACCGAAGCACACCACCAACAAAAAGUGAUGAGAAACCCCAAGCUUAAAACCAUCCAUUGCGCAAAGUACUUUCAGUUCUUUGUGAAUGUGAUGAGACUGUUUAUACUGAUCAGAAAAAAAAAAACCCAAAAACAUUUGAUAGCGCAUUCAAACCAAGGGUACCCAGAACUCUGGGUAAUGAAUAUCUACACACAGAUUACGUCUAUCUAAAAUGUCAUCAAAACUAGAGUUGGGCUAAAGGCAGAAAGUAGCUAGAUGUGGAUUCUUGUUAACAACAGCACAAAUCCAGAGUAACUCCAUUUAGGUCAGUGUAGCAGAGAUCAGAAUCUGAGCUUACAUCCAGGUCUGGCCUUUUCAAAGGUUCAGCACUUCUGUGUUCUUAGCAGCAUGCCCCAAUGGGGAAAAACUCAGGGGACCGGCGUUCUAUUCCCAGGCCUGCCAUAGACCUGCUGAGUCUUUUUGAGAAAGUCACUUCACCUUCUUCUCCCUCUAUUUCCCCUCCUGCUAUUUAUCUGUCUUAUCUCUUUAGAGUAUAAACUGGUUGGGGCAGGGACUAUUUUCUAAUAUAUGUGUGACACUCAGCCAGUGAGGGUUAAACACCAGCAGGCUAAUUGACCCAAGAUCAACCUUUAAAAACAUAUUCGAGAAAUAUUGACAUUAUAAGCAGGGCCAUUUCUUGUAGAUAGUUAUCAAAGCCAUGUAAGUGGACUAAAUCCUUUGAAAUGCAAACCUAUAUUGUCAGAGAAUUAGUAAAUACUAUUGUAUUUGUCUGUGUUUAUCUGUAUCUGUAAGGCGUUGAGCAAUGUGAUCUAAUUUUCAUGUAGAUGCUAUACUUCCGUUCCUGUCUGUAAUAUUUCAUUGCUAUAUUCUAUUGAUUCAGAAAUCAAAAGCGGAUAUUAGCAAUUAGAUGAAACUUGGGUGUAAUGGUAUCAUCGUCUUUAUUUCUCUUUGAAGUUUGUAGUAAACUACUUGUGAACCUUUGAAUGGUAAAUUGCUUUAUGCUAAUCAAUGCAACUAAUUACCUGUGUAUACAUAGGAAAUAGGAAUUGACUUCAAAGCAACCAUGUAUAUUACCUAUUCUUCAUCCAAGGAAUGCUGGCUGUGCUGUUGGCUAGCAAGAGGCUACAUAACCGGCCAGAGAGCUAUAAAAGAACUUUGGGACCUGAUCCUUUUUUCAUCUCAGAUCUGCUUAAGUUUGGUCAGGGGAAGUUUAAGUCGCAAGACUGAGGUCUCCCGCUCCAGUCUGGAUUAGCCUGCCAUUUCUCAUGGAAGAAUUUAAACAGACACUGCACAUGGACUGCCUAUGGGAUUAUAAUUUAUGGGACUGAUUCUGGAAGAACUUUCUACAAAUCGGCAGCUCACCAUCUCUACUUACGAAACUAACCUAAGAACUUUACUCAUAUCUGUAUGUAUAACGAUCUUUAGUCACAAUACUCUCUCUCUUUUUUUUUAAAUAAAUCUUAGAUUAGUUAA
Long non-coding RNA from Chelonia mydas (Green sea turtle), 10406 nucleotides. RefSeq lists it as uncharacterized. Lineage: Eukaryota; Metazoa; Chordata; Testudines; Cheloniidae. The record is from RefSeq and is a predicted model, not a curated record. The transcript has 2 exons.